RNAcentral lists this ribosomal RNA (263 nucleotides) under Acanthamoeba genotype T4. RNAcentral's name for it is "partial 18S ribosomal RNA". It matches the Rfam family "Eukaryotic small subunit ribosomal RNA", at positions 925 to 1097 of the family's 1831-position model. Lineage: Eukaryota; Discosea; Longamoebia; Acanthamoebidae. The record is from RNAcentral.
UUUAUGAAAGAUUAACUUCUGCGAAAGCAUCUGCCAAGGAUGUUUUCAUUAAUCAAGAACGAAAGUUAGGGGAUCGAAGACGAUCAGAUACCGUCGUAGUCUUAACCAUAAACGAUGCCGACCAGCGAUUAGGAGACGUUGAAUACAAAACACCACCAUCGGCGCGGUCGUCCUUGGCGUGUCUCGGCUUCACGGCCGGGGCGCGCGAGGGCGGUUUAGCCCGGUGGCACCGGUGAAUGACUCCCCUAGCAGCUUGUGAGAAA